Long non-coding RNA from Cyprinus carpio (common carp), 499 nucleotides. RefSeq lists it as uncharacterized. The record is from RefSeq and is a predicted model, not a curated record. Lineage: Eukaryota; Metazoa; Chordata; Actinopteri; Cypriniformes; Cyprinidae. The transcript is spliced from 2 exons.
CGUGACGUAGGCCCACCUUAUCCCCCCCAUUGAAAGGAUGGAUUCGCUGGCAAAGGAGCAAGGAGGGACGUUGUCUCACAGACAGCGUCCAGGCAGCAACAAACUGGUGUAUGGAAAUAUGUUGAAGAAAUGCGUCAGGCACUGCUGGAGGCCUGUAGGAGACUGUCACGACAAUGGAUGGGAUUUUUUGCAAUUUUCACAAACUGCAUGACUGCAGGAAAUGACGACGUACCACUUAUACUCAGUAGUUUCAGUAUUAGAUUGUUUCUCCUAUUUCUAAAUGCCUUUCAGUCAUUUUAUAAAGAGCAAAUUAUCUGCUUAUUACAUUGCUAAUUUUCUUUAAAAAAUUUUAAAAUGUUUUUUUUUUUUUUGUAUAACCCUUCUUUUAUUAAGGCAAAUACAGAAGUCAAUUAGUGUAUUUUAUUUCUUCAGAAGUGGAGCAGCAUGGAAUGUAUGACAUAAAAAAAAUGUUCGAGCAAAUAAAAGUUUGAGUAUCUGA